GUCCCUAUCGUCUAGAGGCCUAGGACAUCGCCCUUUCACGGCGGUAACCGGGGUUCUAAUCCCCGUAGGGACG
Molecule: transfer RNA, 73 nt
Filed under: Acinetobacter baumannii 472237-120
Lineage: Bacteria; Pseudomonadati; Pseudomonadota; Gammaproteobacteria; Moraxellales; Moraxellaceae
Description: tRNA-Glu
Rfam family: tRNA
About the family: Transfer RNA (tRNA) molecules are approximately 80 nucleotides in length. Their secondary structure includes four short double-helical elements and three loops (D, anti-codon, and T loops).
Source: RNAcentral